UCUGGUUGAUCCUGCCAGUCUGCAAAGCUUGACUUGGAAAUUAAGCCAUGCAUGUCUAAGUAUAAGUAUUAUAAAGCGAAACUGCGAAUGGCUCAUUAAAACAGUUGUAAUUUAUUUGAUGAUUUUCUUACAUGGAUAACCGUGGGAAACUAGGGCUAAUACAUGCGUAAGACCUUCACAGGUCGUAUUUAUUAGUUUCAAACUAAUGCAGCCAACUGCAUUGUGAGGAAUCAAAAUAACUGAUCGAAGCUCAUUCUUGAGCUAAAUCAUUCAAGCUUCUGACCUAUCAGCUUGUUGUUAGUGUAUUGGACUAACAAGGCGGUAACAGGUAACGGAGAAUUGGGGUUCGAUUCCGGAGAGUCAGCCUGAGAAACGGCUGACAUUUCUACGGAAGGCAGCAGGCGUGAAAAUUACCCAAUCACAAUUCGUGGAGGUAGUUAAUAGACAUAACAAUUCCGGCCUAUUAGGUUCUGGAAAUGUAAUGAAGUCAAUUUAAACAAUUGGCUGAAAUCCAUUGGAGGGCAAGUCUGGUGCCAGCAGCCGCGGUAAUUCCAGCUCCAAUAGCUUUGUUGAAAGUUGCUGCAGUUAAAAAGCUCGUAGUUGAAUAUCCGGCGUCUCUGACGUCUGCCCGUCACGUCUUACGAUACCGCGAGGUUUUGUAUGUUCGUUUGGGCGUUUACUGUGAACAAAUAGAGUGCUCAAAACAGGCUUUUGCUUGAAUUUUUUAGCAUGGAAUAAUAAAAUACGACUUCGCUCAUUUUAUUGGUUAUUGGACGGAGUAAUGGUUAACAGGAACAGUUAGGGUUUUUCGUAUUUAUAAGUCAGAGGUGAAAUUCUUAGAUUUUAUAAGGACGAACUAAUGCGAAGGCAUUAAACAGGGAUGUUUUCAUUAAUCAAGAACGAAAGCGUUGGGAUCAAAAAGGAUCAGAUACCCUUGUAGUCAGCGCCGUAAACGAUACUGACUAGGGAUUGGUGAGGUAAACCCUCAUCAGCACCUAAUGAGAAAUCAAAGUCUUUGAGUUCUGGGGAGAGUAUGGUCGCAAGGCUGAAACUUAAAGGAAUUGACGGAAAGAUACACAAGUCGUGGAUUCUGCGGCUUAAUUUGAUUUAACACGGGAAAACUUACGCAGGCAAAAAGUUAAAAGGAUUGACAGCUUGAUAGCACUUUCUUGAUAUGACAGCGAGUGGUGCAUGGCCGUUCUUAGUUGGUGGAGUGAUUUGUCAGGUUAAUUCCCUAAACGAACGAGAUCUUCGCUUGCUAACUAGUCGUCGUUAAAAUCUAGCGAUUGACUUCUUAGAAGGACUACGGUUCCCAAAACCGUGGAAGUUGGAGGCAAUAACAGGUCCGUGAUGCCCUCAGAUGUUUGCGGCCGCACGCGUAAUACCAUGACUGGCACAAUAAGUUCACCUAAUCCGAAAGGACUCGGGUAAUCUUCAUAAUGCCAGUCGUGCUUGGGAUAGAACUUUGCAAUUAUGGUUCUUGAACGAGGAAUGACUAGUAAGCUGGAGUCACUAACCCCAGCUGAUUACUGUCCCUAUCUUUUGUACACACCGCCCGCCGCUCCCAUCGAUUGAGUGUGUUGACGAGUUCUUCGGAUUGACGUCUCUUAGAUGUUGAGAAGUUGUGCAAGUUGAUUCACUUAGAGAAGGGAUAAGGCGUAACAAGGUU
RNAcentral lists this ribosomal RNA (1669 nucleotides) under metagenome. RNAcentral describes it as "SSU rRNA". It matches the Rfam family "Eukaryotic small subunit ribosomal RNA". The record is from RNAcentral.